This 66-nucleotide transfer RNA is filed under the name Oxyloma wujiaquensis. RNAcentral's name for it is "tRNA-Met". The record is from RNAcentral. Lineage: Eukaryota; Metazoa; Mollusca; Gastropoda; Stylommatophora; Succineidae.
UCUUUAAUAAGCUAAACAAAGCUAUUGGACUCAUAAUCCAAAAAUGAUCUUUAUUUUCUUAAAGAA